CAGUCGAACGCAGUAGCAAUACUGAGUGGCAGACGGGUGAGUAACAUGUGGGAAUCUGCCUUGUGGUUCAGGACAACAUUGGGAAACCGAUGCUAAUACUGGAUAAGCCCUUACGGGGAAAGUUUUAAUGCCAUAAGAUGAGCCCGCAUUUGAUUAGUUAGUUGGUGAGGUAAUGGCUCACCAAGACAAUGAUCAAUAGCUGAUCUGAGAGGAUGAUCAGCCACACUGGGACUGAGACACGGCCCAGACUCCUACGGGAGGCAGCAGUGGGGAAUCUUGCACAAUGGAGGAAACUCUGAUGCAGCGAUGCCGCGUGAGUGAAGAAGGCCUUUGGGUUGUAAAGCUCUUUUGUAGGGGAAGAUAAUGACUGUACCCUAAGAAUAAGGUCCGGCUAACUUCGUGCCAGCAGCCGCGGUAAUACGAAGGGACCUAGCGUAGUUCGGAAUUACUGGGCGUAAAGCGCGCGUAGGCCGUUGAGUUAGUUAAUUGUGAAAUCCCAAAGCUUAACUUUGGAACUGCAAUUAAAACUGCUCGACUAGAGUUUGAUAGAGGAAAGCGGAAUACAUAGUGUAGAGGUGAAAUUCGUAGAUAUUAUGUAGAACACCAGUUGCGAAGGCGGCUUUCUGGAUCAACACUGACGCUGAGGCGCGAAAGUAUGGGUAGCAAAGAGGAUUAGAUACCCUCGUAGUCCAUACCAUAAACGAUGAUUGCUAGAUGUUGGAAAUUUAUUUUCAGUAUCGCAGCUAACGCAUUAAGCAAUCCGCCUGGGGAGUACGACCGCAAGGUUAAAACUCAAAUGAAUUGACGGG
Molecule: ribosomal RNA, 809 nt
Filed under: uncultured bacterium
Lineage: Bacteria
Description: bacterial SSU rRNA
Rfam family: Bacterial small subunit ribosomal RNA
Source: RNAcentral